This is a long non-coding RNA of Benincasa hispida (wax gourd), 464 nucleotides long. RefSeq lists it as uncharacterized. The record is from RefSeq and is a predicted model, not a curated record. Lineage: Eukaryota; Viridiplantae; Streptophyta; Magnoliopsida; Cucurbitales; Cucurbitaceae.
CAAACAAUCCUUCACCACUAGGUUGUUUCUUUUUUUCACAGAUUGAAGCUCAAUUUUCUUUGUUCUCAGGGUUGAUAUGAUGGCAUCUUCUUGAAUUAUCCCUAAGUUUUUAUCUGCAGACCCAAAAAUGGAGAAGAAAUCUGAUCCGAGAAGAAUUAGUGGUAGGUGACAGAUGUGGAGAGGAAAUGGCCACGUUGCUGAUUUGAGAACACCACGUGGGAGGAAAAUUGAAGAACACAAACAUGCACACAUAGAAAAUGAAGGAGAAGAAGAUGAACAAGGCAAUGUACGUGGUUAGGCCAAAGUAUGCCUACAUCCACGAGAAGGGGAAGUUGAUUUAUUAGAAGGCUAUAAGAAUGAAGAUAAGUUCUCUCUUUACAUAUUCACUCUAACCUAUGAAAUACAAACACAGAUACGGAUACACGAUAUGGAUACGACGAUUCGUCAAUUUCUAAAAAACUAAG